UUUGCCUGCAUCUCUUACCCAUGUCUUUUGAGUACCUUCGUUUCCUCGGUGGGUUCGCCCGCCGAUUGGACAACACUUAAACCCUUUGUAAUUGAAAUCAGCGUCUGAAAAAACUUAAUAGUUACAACUUUCAACAACGGAUCUCUUGGUUCUGGCAUCGAUGAAGAACGCAGCGAAAUGCGAUAAGUAGUGUGAAUUGCAGAAUUCAGUGAAUCAUCGAAUCUUUGAACGCACAUUGCGCCCCUUGGUAUUCCAUGGGGCAUGCCUGUUCGAGCGUCAUUUGUACCUUCAAGCUUUGCUUGGUGUUGGGUGUUUGUCUCGCCUCUGCGCGCAGACUCGCCUUAAAACGAUUGGCAGCCGGCGUAUUGAUUUCGGAGCGCAGUACAUCUCGCGCUUUGCACUCAUAACGACGACGUCCAAAAAGUACAUUUUUUACACUCUUGACCUCGGAUCAGGUAGGGAUACCCGCUGAACUUAAGCAUAUCAAUAAGCGGAGGAA
RNAcentral lists this ribosomal RNA (499 nucleotides) under Stagonosporopsis astragali. Its description in RNAcentral is "eukaryotic LSU rRNA". The stretch from base 126 to 279 matches the Rfam family "5.8S ribosomal RNA". The record is from RNAcentral. Lineage: Eukaryota; Fungi; Ascomycota; Dothideomycetes; Pleosporales; Didymellaceae.